Rattus norvegicus (Norway rat) is the source of this 4025-nucleotide long non-coding RNA. RefSeq lists it as uncharacterized. Lineage: Eukaryota; Metazoa; Chordata; Mammalia; Rodentia; Muridae. The record is from RefSeq and is a predicted model, not a curated record.
CCUUUAGGCUUGGCUUAGGAGUCUCUUCAACAGCCACCUGGGGCUCGGGCCUUUGGAUUGAAUGUCAGCAUUGGAUUUUCUGGUUUUCUGUCUUAUAGACAGGGGGCAAUAGAACUUCUGGGGCACCAAAAUCAACUGGUCUGCUACCAGAAGGGGCCACCCCAACUGACAGAGGGUCUUCACACAUCGAUCAAGGCGGUCAGGACAAUUCAUCUGCUGAGACUCCCUAUUCAGGUCCUCCUCACUCACUUGCCUGUGAACCAGCACGCUCUUUGGAAAAGCCCUGGUCACCAUCGUGUCUUAUGCUGAUCUCCAGGUGCCUGCUCUUGCCCUGCUCUGGGUGCAGGCUCAGAAGCCACACCCCUUAUAGCAGCGUGCACGUUUCUCCUGUUUCUCCAAUCACGCUUCUCUUUCCCGACUGCUGGUUCUUCCCACUUUAUCUCUCCCAUUACCUGCUAGGCUUCAGUUUGAGGUUUGGAAGCCGUUCAUCUUUUCUGCCCCGCGUCGCACACCCAAGAGUCUGAGAGGAUGCCAUUCCAAUUCCAGCCCUGCAUGAACCAGCCCUGUGCCCUUGGGCGCGAGGUUUCAACUUUCUGGGCCUCAGUUUCCUAAUCCAUGAAUUGCAAUAAAUCUAGGCCUCUGGGUACACGUGGAGAUUAAACAAGAUAAUCUAAAUGACAGCUCUAGUACAGUAGCUGGCAAAGGUAAAUGGUAAUUACAGCCCACGUCCCUUCUUCCCACGUGUCCUCUCUUGCUCCUUCUAUACAGCAGCACGGUGCAGCCUCCCUUUCAAGUCCCCAUUUUCUGGCCUACAUAAAAAUAGCAACACAUAAAAUGAAAUUGCACAGAGUAUUUUUAUAUCCCCCAAAUAACUCGAUUCAAUUAUAGACUGGUCAAUUUUAGGUGUUUGAGCAUUACCAAUGCAUCUAAAGCUGGUAAAUCAAGUUCCAGGUCUCCAUUUAGAAAAUAAAGAACUGAAUCAAUCCCUUGGAAAAAAUUUGUUAGGGAAAGACAUUUUUUUUUUCUUGAGGCCCUAAACCUUAUAUGGAAUGUGUCAGCAAUUGCUAACUCUGCUGGCUGGAAGACCGAACACAAGGAACCCUUUAUACUUCUAAUCUGCCACGGUCUCUGAGAGUCUAGCGGAGGGAUUGAAGCUCAUGCUUUCUGGCAAUAGAGAUUUGGCAGGAGAUCCCUGAGUGCACCCGAAGAGUGCUCAUGUGACUCACUUUGUGCAGGGGAAUCCAGAAAAUCAGGAAGAAAUGUGGCAAUGAAUGGAAAAGCACUUACCAACGCAUUAUUGCAACUGUUAGUGGGAAAACAGUAACAGUCCCUAAGCUAAAGCGAGAGUCAAGGCACGGUCACAGUAUUCUUACAGACAAAUACAAAGUAACGAGAAUGGUCCAGGUUCUAAUGUUGGCAGUGCUACUUGUUACUGUUGUAGGAAGGUACCCCUAUUUAUGUGUGUGUAGGUGCUUUUGUGUGUAUGGUUGUACAUGCACAGGUGUGUACAUAUAUGUUGAGGACACAGAACAAACUUAGAUGUCUUUCCUCAGGUACUGUCCAUCUUUCUGAAACCUGGUUUAGAACUCACAGACAGGCUAGAGUGACUGGCCAGGGAGUCCCAGUGCAGCAUUGAAAUCGCAAGCAUUUUCCUACACCUGGCUUUUAAACGUGGGUUAUGGGGAUCAAAGUCAGGUCCUUGUGCUGGCACCACAUGUGUUUCAGCAACUGAGUUAGCUCCCCAGGACCUAGUACCACUUUCCUCUGUAACUUUAGUCAAAUAACUUCAUGUAGCUGAGUCUCUACUUCAUCGGUAAACAAGAAACUAAUACUCUUUACACAGUAUGCCUGGGGACCUAGAAAGUAUUUAAUCAUGGUGUGGGUGUGACUAUGAAUUCAUAUGAUCAUGUGGUUUAUUUUUACACCUUCUCCUUGGUACCUUCAUUCACUUUCACUUUUGUUUUAGAUUAUUUAUUUAACAUGUAUGAAUGUUUUACCUGCAUGUAUGUAUGUAUGUCACAUGCAUGCCUGGUACCUGUGGAGAUCAGAAGAGGGCACCAGAUUUACUGGGAUUGGUGUUACGGACGUUUGUGAGUUGUGGGUGUGACAGCUGUGUCUCUUACUGCUGAGCCACCACCCCAGCCUCAUCUCCUUGGUCCUUGUCUUAGUUGGGGGUUUCUAUCGCUGUCAUAAAACACCAUGACCAAUGCAACUUUGAUAGGAAAGGGUUUAUUUAGCUUCCACUUCCAUAUCAUCACUCAUCACUGAAGGAAGUCAGGACCGGGAUUCAGGCAGGGCAGGCAGGGUAAGACUCCAGAUACAGAGGCCAUGGAGGGGCACUGCUUACUCACUUGCCGUUCAUGGCUUGCUCAGCCUUCUCUUUUAUAGAACCCAGGACCACUAACCAAGGGGUGGUCGUCCCACCUACAUCCAUCACUCAUUAGGAAAAUGCCCCACAGGUUUGUCUACCACCCCAUCUUUUCUUAGUCGAGGUUCCCUCCUCUGUGAUGACUCUAGCUUGUGUCAAAUUGACAUAAAACUAAUCAGGACAGUACUCAUCACUGAGAGAAAUACUUGUCCAUCCAUGGAAGUGUUGGGGUUUAUACCCAGGAAAAGGGGUGGGGGAGAGACUAACAUUUCUCAGAAAAGUCUGCAGGAGUUAACACUUGGAUUCUACCUCUCAACCUUUGCUAAUACAUUUGGCUUUUUUGUUUGCACAAAGAAGAAACUUAUUGCAAGGGAAGAUUUACACUAAAUUCACAAAUCAUUCUAAAAACCAGCUCUUAAGUCGGUUAAUUUCAAUGAGAAAGAUGGCUUUUGAUAGUAUCAGGAUACCCAAGUCUGUAUGAUUAGUUCCUAUCUUUUUUGCUUUUGCAUCUUCACAGAACAACAAAGUUUAACAACAAAAUGCAAUACACAAUGUAGAAUCAAGGUGAUAGACUUAGAGGAUAUAACGCAAAACAUACUCAAUCUGAGACAGUCUAAACCAAUCUUAGACAAUUUAAGCCUUAUAGGAUGGAGGCCCCUCUUGAGAGUAUUGUGUAUUGUGAAAGGUUAUCCGGCAAGCAUGCUCCCAAAGGCCACGUGUUGGGAAUUUACUCUUCAUAUGUACAUUUUACCCAUGUUUGGGAUCAAUCCCAUGAGAGGUAACUAGAAUUAUAUGUAGUCACAGGAUGGGAUUCCAUAAUGGCAUUUGUAAUUCUAUUAGUCAAUACUUUGAAAGUAGACUAUUUCUAUGUAGCUCAGGCUGUUCUCAAAGUCAUAAUCCUCUUGUCUCCCUAAGCCUCUACAGGGCCUGGGCUGUCCGCCUCAGCCUCCAUGCCCAGCUUGGCAUCACUGAGUUUAUCCAAAGCCAGAGAUCCAAGCUAGAAUGUCAACUCUGUUUCUCCACGGGAUGCUUUCUGCCACAUUAUUAUGUAGCAGGAAGUCCCCAUCCCCUCCCUUCCAGAUACUGAGUGGAUGUCAGCACCAUGCUCUUGAGUUUUUAGUCUCUAAAACUGUAAGCCCCAAAGCCAUGCAGUACCCACUCUCAGGUGCUUUAUUAUAGCAGCGUAACACGGACUAACACAUACUUCCUGGUGGUGUUGAUUACCUAAUACUUCUUUAAGCUUCUGUGUAACCAAAAUGCUGUAAAUAAAGUCUAAAUAAAGAUGACAAACUGGAACAAAAUUUGCAAUGACUAUGGUAGUUAAAAAGUUAAAGUAAUAUACACAGAGAACUCAUAUUCACUAAUAAGAAAAGGUCAAACUCUACCAGAAAGAUGGUCAAGAAGAACAGAUAGUUUUCACACACACACACACACACACACACACACACACACACACACACACACAAACACAAAGAAUACAAAUUAUUGGUAAAUUGAAAGGAAGCACAUUGCAUUUAUUCCUUACAAGUGAGAGUUAUAUAUCAUGGCUAUAAUUCAUCCACUUUGUUAAUGAAACAUAGAUUUAUGGCCAUAUAUUGCACAUACAGUGUUUGUAUGUGCAACAUGCAUUCACGCAGUUACACCUAUCUUUUGUAAG